This 253-nucleotide ribosomal RNA is filed under the name uncultured bacterium. RNAcentral's name for it is "partial 16S ribosomal RNA". It matches the Rfam family "Bacterial small subunit ribosomal RNA", at positions 524 to 776 of the family's 1533-position model. The record is from RNAcentral.
UACGGGGGGGGCAAGCGUUGUUCGGAAUUACUGGGCGUAAAGGGCUCGUAGGCGGCCAACUAAGUCAGACGUGAAAUCCCCAGGCUCAACCUGGGAACUGCGUCUGAUACUGGAUGGCUUGAAUCCGGGAGAGGGAUGCAGAAUUCCAGGUGUAGCGGUGAAAUGCGUAGAUAUCAAGAGGAACACCUGAGGUGAAGACGGGUUGCUGGGCUGACACUGACGCUGAGGCGCGAAAGCCAGGGGAGCGAACGGG